This 1315-nucleotide long non-coding RNA is filed under the name Chinchilla lanigera (long-tailed chinchilla). RNAcentral's name for it is "lncRNA (ENSCLAG00000022471.1)". The record is from RNAcentral. Lineage: Eukaryota; Metazoa; Chordata; Mammalia; Rodentia; Chinchillidae.
AAAUAGUUUUUGCUUAUAUAACACCAUUCAAUUGAGGGGUGGGAUGAAUGAAACUUGUUUUAUAUUAACGUCCUUAUGUUUUAUUUAUAUAAAUGAUGCUGCCAGGCAGAUUCAACACAUAAGUGCCACUGAGGGAUUUUAGAGUGUGUAUGUGUGUAUGAAAUUUAUUAGGGUAGAAAUAAUGGUACCUCUGCAAAUAAUUGACAUAGAAUUUCUGAACACUGAAGCAUAUUAACCUAAAUGAGGGUCAAAACAAAACCGCGGAGGUCCAAGGCAACUUCGGAAGAGCUAGCUGUCAAUUAACAGGUGAUGGAACUAGAAGGAUAGUGGAACUGAGAACUGAUGCCUAAGCUAAGAAAAGAUAAAGGCAGUGCGCCCCCUGCAGGGCGGUGAGGUCCUUGCGAACAACGUCAGCGGUGUAUUGUGCUUUUGUGGAGCUAUUCCCUCAGUACAAGUCUACAGGCAGGGAAAGUCCGCCCUGCAACUUCAGCUUUUGCAUUUAAAGGACGUUUUUCCUGUGACAGGGGCUGAAAGCCGGUCUCUGUCAGCGGCCAGGAAGCGAAUUGCACUGCAGAGUGUGGGCAGCACGGCCAGAAACCACUGUGGGCAGAAAGCAAACCCGAUGGUGCGGCCUUCCACGGCAAGCGGACUGAGCAGCUCGGGACCAAGACCCAAGCCUCUUCUUUCCUCCAAGUAACCUGCUACUGGACCACACAACAGCCUUGCUAGGAUUUGUUUUCCAGAGGAAAAGAAGGGAGAAUCUCAAAAUUGUUUGGAAUCAGACCCAAGCUCCACCUAAGUUGAUAUUCUUAGAGAUCUUCUUGGGAAAGAUGAACUUGUUCAUUCCAGUGUCAGUCAUAAAAUUUACACUUCUAAUAAAGGAACGAAGUUGUUAAACAUGUGAUAUGUGUAGCCUCCAGAUUGCCGCCUUGGCCUGAAGACAGGAAGCCCAAGCCAGCUCUCCAGGGUCUGCUCCCUGCCUUCGGGCUUGGCAUAUUUCACAUUCACACACCCUUCACCCCUUGCCAUGGUAGCAGCAAAGGAAACGUGUCUAUCCAACCCUUUUCCCUCUAUUUUUCCCAGUACACCCAGGUUGGGUUUGCACAACAGAAAAUCCAUCUUUCUUCUUGAAGCGGGACCCAGUAUAGAUGAAUCCAGGUCAGGCCUUUCCUGGAGAACCCAUUAUCAAAAAGAUUAGAAUCAAUAGAAAGUAGAAUUAGGACUCUUGGAGUUGGUGCAACAAGACCUAUACCCUAAUUUAAAUCCACAUAUCUGUGGAUUUAUUUCCAACCAGUGAUCUGCUGGUCAAUGUUUA